GCAUGACUGCAGAGGGACACUCAGGCUUACCCCUGUGAAUGUCAAAGCACUCACGCUUUGCGCAGUCCGCUCGCCUGAAGAGAAUAAUGGUGACAAGCGGCGCGCGCUGACCCCGCUGACGGCUAAACGCCACUGCACAGCGGCAUCCGGUGCUAACCCGUAGCGAAGAGUAGCAUCAAGGAACACAUUAAUCAGCAAGUACCCAUGUUAGCUCAUAGCGUAGCUUAGCAUCCGGUGUUAGCUCAUGGCGUAGAGUAGCAUCAAUGGCCAUAUUUAUCUACAAGUACCCGUGUUAGCUAACAGUGUAGCACCAAUUAGCCCCAUUAAUCAAUAAGUGACGGUGCUAGCUCAUAGCAUAGCGUAGCAUCAAUGGACACAUUUAUCAACAAGUACCCUUAUUAGCUAAUAGCGUUGCAUCACGACCACAUUUAUCACCAAAUAUCGGUGCUAGCUCAUAGCAUGGCAGAGCAUCAACAACCACAUUUAUCAAGCACCAGUUACUUAGUGUAAUCUAUAGUGUGCAGGCUUGCCUUAUGCCUGCCAAGUUCUUCCCCAA
Long non-coding RNA from Gadus macrocephalus (Pacific cod), 556 nucleotides. RefSeq lists it as uncharacterized. NCBI's taxonomy places the organism in Eukaryota, Metazoa, Chordata, Actinopteri, Gadiformes, Gadidae. The transcript is spliced from 2 exons. The record is from RefSeq and is a predicted model, not a curated record.